RNAcentral lists this ribosomal RNA (526 nucleotides) under uncultured eukaryote. RNAcentral's name for it is "SSU rRNA". It matches the Rfam family "Eukaryotic small subunit ribosomal RNA", at positions 75 to 604 of the family's 1831-position model. The record is from RNAcentral.
UAUACAGCGAAACUGCGAAUGGCUCAUUAUAUAAGUUAUCGUUUAUUUGAUAGUGCCUUACUACUUGGAUAACCGUGGUAAUUCUAGAGCUAAUACAUGCUAAAAACCCCGACUUCGGAAGGGGUGUAUUUAUUAGAUACAAAACCAAUGCCCUUCGGGGCUCUUUGGUGAUUCAUGAUAACUAUACGAAUCGCACGGCCUUGCGCCGGCGAUGGUUCAUUCAAAUUUCUUCCCUAUCAACUUUCGAUGUUUGGGUAUUGGCCAAACAUGGUUGCAACGGGUAACGGAGGGUUAGGGCUCGACCCCGGAGAAGGAGCCUGAGAAACGGCUACUACAUCCAAGGAAGGCAGCAGGCGCGCAAAUUACCCAAUCCCGACUCGGGGAGGUAGUGACAAUAAAUACUGAUACAGGGCCCUUUCGGGCCUUGUGAUUGGAAUGAGUACAAUUUAAAUCCCUUAACGAGGAACAAUUGGAGGGCAAGUCUGGUGCCAGCAGCCGCGGUAAUUCCAGCUCCAAUAGCGUAUAU